RNAcentral lists this ribosomal RNA (369 nucleotides) under uncultured archaeon. RNAcentral describes it as "partial 16S ribosomal RNA". It matches the Rfam family "Archaeal small subunit ribosomal RNA", at positions 458 to 826 of the family's 1478-position model. The record is from RNAcentral.
UCAGCCGCCGCCGUAACACCGGCAGCYCAAGUGGUGGCCRUUUUUAUUGGGCCUAAAGCGUUCGUAGCCGGCYUGAUAAGUCUCUGGUGAAAUCCCRCAGCUUAACUGUGGGAAUUGCUGGAGAUACUAUCAGGCUUGAGGYCGGGAGAGGYURGAGGUACUCCCAGGGUAGGGGUGAAAUCCUAUAAUCCUGGGAGGACCACCUGUGGCGAAGGCGUCYARCUGGAACGRACCUGACGGUGAGUAACGAAAGCCAGGGGCGCGAACCGGAUUAGAUACCCGGGUAGUCCUGGCCGUAAACGAUGUGGACUUGGUGUUGGGAUGGCYYCGAGCUGCCCCAGUGCCGAAGGGAAGCUGUUAAGUCCACCG